RNAcentral lists this ribosomal RNA (117 nucleotides) under Carassius auratus (goldfish). Lineage: Eukaryota; Metazoa; Chordata; Actinopteri; Cypriniformes; Cyprinidae. The record is from RNAcentral.
ACUGGCAGCCAUAUCACCCUGGAGCCCAAGAUCAGUUGCCCUCUGAAGCUAAGCAGGGCUGAGCCUGGUCAGUACCUGGAUGGGAGACCUCCUGGGAAAACUAGGUUGCUGCUGGAA